This is a non-coding RNA of Pangasius djambal, 72 nucleotides long. The record is from the annotation of a GenBank genome assembly. Lineage: Eukaryota; Metazoa; Chordata; Actinopteri; Siluriformes; Pangasiidae.
UCCCUGGAGGACUAGCGGUUAGGUUAUGGUGCUGUCAUCGCUGCAGCUCGGGUUCGAUUCCCGGCCAGGAAC